CCAGCACCCGCGGUAAUUCCAGCUCCAAUAGCGUAUAUUAAAGUUGUUGCAGUUAAAAAGCUCGUAGUUGGAUUUGUGGUUUGUGGUGGGUUCCAGGCACUUGUUGUCUGAGUAACUUGCUGCUGCCAUCCUUGGGUGGAACCUGUGUGGCAUUAGGUUGUCGUGCAGGGGAUGCCCAUCGUUUACUGUGAAAAAAUUAGAGUGUUCAAAGCAGGCUUAUGCCGUUGAAUAUAUUAGCAUGGAAUAAUGAGAUAGGACUUUUUCGCUAUUUUGUUGGUUUGCGCGAAGAGGUAAUGAUUAAUAGGGACAGUUGGGGGUAUUCGUAUUCCAUUGUCAGAGGUGAAAUUCUUGGAUUUCUGGAAGACGAACUACUGCGAAAGCAUUUACCAAGGAUGUUUUCAUUAAUCAAGAACGAAAGU
RNAcentral lists this ribosomal RNA (419 nucleotides) under uncultured Naviculaceae. RNAcentral describes it as "SSU rRNA". It matches the Rfam family "Eukaryotic small subunit ribosomal RNA", at positions 567 to 990 of the family's 1831-position model. Lineage: Eukaryota; Bacillariophyta; Bacillariophyceae; Naviculales; Naviculaceae. The record is from RNAcentral.